This is an RNA transcript of Sorghum bicolor (sorghum), 2981 nucleotides long. It is a transcript of the gene named 26S proteasome non-ATPase regulatory subunit 2 homolog B, with no coding region annotated. NCBI's taxonomy places the organism in Eukaryota, Viridiplantae, Streptophyta, Magnoliopsida, Poales, Poaceae. The transcript is spliced from 6 exons. The record is from RefSeq and is a predicted model, not a curated record.
ACCAAACAAAAUUAUGCUCGGUCCACCCAAAAGAAUCACUCCCACUGAGGGCGUCAACCAUUGUGUACCCAGGAAAACGCACACAAGAUUUUAUCUCCAUUAAAAUCAAUGUCUCAAAAUUAACCGGGACCAAAUCCAACGGCUGUAGUCUUCCACGCUCCUUCCCCGUCACGCCGCCCCUGGCCAUGGUUAGAUCCCCGCGUCGUCUUCUUUUUUUGAUCUAUUCUUUGCUCGAGCGACCGCGGAAAGAAAGAAGACCAUGCAAACUUCCGCCGCCGCCUCUUGGGUCCCGACGACGGCGAGCUUUUUGGCUUCAAUGACCUCCUCCGGCUCGUCGACGAUGGGCGGAUCUGGUGGCCAGAGUCGCCGGGCGGCGCAAGACGCAAGGCCGCGCAGGCGGGCGUGAGGCCUCUCCCCACACGCGAUCCUCUUUUCCCCUUGCGGCCACCACCAUUCCCAUGGGAUUGGGGGUACGUGAGAUGGAGUCUAAGCGGAGGAAGCGCCUCCGGGAGGAUGCUCGUAUGUGGCCUCGACUCCGCGACAGUAGGUAGCGCAGCUCUCUGACACCCUCACCGCCGUGCAAAAGCUGGCAGUUUGAAUGGCAAGCAAGACUUCUACACUUGCGUAGGAGCUCAAGAACAUCAAGUCAGAACUGCACUUCAUGCAGAGGACAAGCGCGGAUUGCUAGAGGAGAACGAGAGAUCAAAUAGAUGUGACGAUGGAGUUGCCCCCUGAAGAAGAUGGCUUGGUAGCAAUGACGAUUGCUUCUGCAUUGGAGGACCAGAUAAAUUUGACACACUAAUUGCUGCAUUUCGUAUAGUCUGGACUCUCUACCUCUGGAUAUGUGGUCUUUCACUCAUUGUCUGCCUAAAGUCAAGUUUUUGGCAAGCUUCCAAAAUUUGAUCGGUGUGGUACAACCUUUUAAUAAUUUUAUAUCCACCUCAACUUAUGUUUGUCAUAUGCACUGUUACGUGUUUCUGCAUUCAAGCACUCCAUUCUGCGAUCCAAUUGUUAUGGUGCCUGACAUUUUAGACAAUCUUUUGGAUUAUUUCUUUGUGUUUGCAAAAAGAUUAUGGUUUGUGUAAAAUGAUUCGUUUCUGCUAUGAUCCUGGAGAGUAUGACUGUAAGCCACAAGAGCUAUUAGUACCCAGCCAUGAAAUAAUAUUUGGUUGUUUGAUUUGUAUGCCCUGAUAGUAUAUUGCCCAUGGAGUAGCCGGCUAUCGAAUAAUCUUAGUUUGAUUUGUAUUACCUGAUAUCACUGUAGCAUUAGCAUAGGUAAUAUACUCUUUGGUUGUUUAAUUUUUAUUAUCCAAUGUCGUCGUAGUGUUAGCACGGACAAUUUGUGUGAAAUCCUGGCCACUAAUUUGUGUGAGCUCGGCAUGAUUCGCCAUUACCAGAGGGUUGCAUGACCCCCAAGGUAACUAAGUUUUAGUGGUGGUGCUCGUGUCAUAUUAGUUGUGGGUUUAAGUUUGUCAUCUUUGUGAAGACGAGUUGAGCGUCGUAGUGCUGUAUGCUCUUUAUUGCUUGUAUAUUAUGUAAAGAUUGAGUUUCCUUGUGUCUCACAAGGAUAAUUGUGUGCUCCAGCUGCACUCCUGUAUUUGUGUGCAAUCAACAACUUGUUUCUUAACCCUUUCGCUGCCCACUAAAAUUUAUCUGUUUCAGGCAAGAGAUUCCUGCUGCCAUGAGCUGAAUGACUUCUGUCCCAAUCUACCGAAAUUCCUUUGCCUGCACUUUGGAACUCUCAAGUCCUACUUUGAAACAAUACUAGAGCCCGAGCUCAAGAAGUACAUGGCCGACAUACUGUCAGUGCUAGCUUUGACAAUGUCCACUGAAGGAGAAAGGCUGUUCACAUGAAUCUAGAACUGAGACAUUGUUUCUGGAGAGCUUGAAAUAUUGUUUGUUAGGCUCUGAAGGUGAUAUUGGUUCAUGGGAACAUGAAUGGUGAGGUAUGACUAAACUGAAAUGAUAUGUUUCCUACCUCCUUCAAUCAGCAAAGUCUAAAUUUUUCUAAGGAAUUAAAAUGCACUGGUAAUAUUCAAGUAGACUAGGAAUACAAUUUUUAGUAUUUAAGUCUAAGGAAUACAAAUGCGCUGGUAAUAUUCAAGCAGACUAUGAAGUAGGAACUGGCAGAUUUUAUGCCUAUGUGAGUGCAAACAUUGUGAUAUUCUAACUGAAUUGCACAACCCACCAUUUAAGUUGUCUAUUGACUAUUCAUAGUCUGAUGGAAUUGAAGGUUGGUUAUGACAACAUUUGGUACACGAGGAGGGUAAUGACAAUCUAUGCUGUCAUGUCAUAACUCAAACGUGAUGGGAGAAUUUUGUGUUUCAUUUUAUUUUUGAGAGGAUAACUUCAACAAAAUAUGGCAUGUAAAAAUCAACCUGAGAAAUUACACUUGAGUUGGAAAAAAUAAUUACUAGCAAAUAAUCAUCAUAUCAUGGAUUAAACCAAAGACCACUUAAUAUGGACAAUUAUUUAUGUAGGCAUCUUGCCAAAGAGACUUUAUUUUACAUUGGACACAAAAAGGAAUUACUUGGCACGGAGGCAGAGGCAGAGGUUGAUGCUCAGAUGGGUGGAAAUCGCCUCAAGAUUUUUAAGAUAUAUUUUAUCCUGUUCUUGAUAAUCUCGACUGUUCUUUGCUGAUGGGUGGAAAUCGGUUGAUGACAACUUCUGAUGGUGACUCCCAAGAUAAACUCCAAGGCAGGAGCCACCAAAGCUCUGUAUGUCUGACAAGUUUGGUUUAACGGUGGUCACUCAGGUGUCGAGGUUGUCUGCAGUUUCAGUUAAUACUGUCAAAAUGGGUGUUGUGCUGCACUUUCAAAUAAAGCCAAAUUAGUGUUGAAAUGGAAACUCCCUGCCAUUUUCUUUCUCUUGUAUAUGUCAUUUUAUUCUUUACUAUGGCAUUAUACUAGUUAUUAUCUAAUUAUAGACUAACUACGUUGAAAAGAUUCAUCUCGUAAAUUACAGACAAACUGUAUAAUUAA